GGGGAGCGAACAGGAUUAGAUACCCUGGUAGUCCACGCCGUAAACGUUGGGCACUAGGUGUGGGGACCAUUCCACGGUUUCCGCGCCGCAGCUAACGCAUUAAGUGCCCCGCCUGGGGAGUACGGCCGCAAGGCUAAAACUCAAAGGAAUUGACGGGGGCCCGCACAAGCGGCGGAGCAUGCGGAUUAAUUCGAUGCAACGCGAAGAACCUUACCAAGGCUUGACAUGUUCUCGAUCGCCGUAGAGAUACGGUUUCCCCUUUGGGGCGGGUUCACAGGUGGUGCAUGGUUGUCGUCAGCUCGUGUCGUGAGAUGUUGGGUUAAGUCCCGCAACGAGCGCAACCCUCGUUCCAUGUUGCCAGCACGUAGUGGUGGGGACUCAUGGGAGACUGCCGGGGUCAACUCGGAGGAAGGUGAGGACGACGUCAAAUCAUCAUGCCCCUUAUGUCUUGGGCUUCACGCAUGCUACAAUGGCCGGUACAAUGGGUUGCGAUACUGUGAGGUGGAGCUAAUCCCAAAAAGCCGGUCUCAGUU
Molecule: ribosomal RNA, 533 nt
Filed under: Micrococcus luteus
Lineage: Bacteria; Bacillati; Actinomycetota; Actinomycetes; Micrococcales; Micrococcaceae
Description: bacterial SSU rRNA
Rfam family: Bacterial small subunit ribosomal RNA
Source: RNAcentral